Molecule: small RNA, 117 nt
Filed under: Marmota monax (woodchuck)
Lineage: Eukaryota; Metazoa; Chordata; Mammalia; Rodentia; Sciuridae
Source: RNAcentral
GCCAGGUGCUUUGGUGCAUGCCUGUCAUUCCAGCUACUUGGGAGGUGGAGGCAGGAAAAUCACAUGAGCCCAGGAGUUGGAGACCAACCUGGGCAACAUAGGAAGACACUGUCUCAA